CCAAUAGCGUAUAUUAAAGUUGUUGCAGUUAAAAAGCUCGUAGUUGAAUUUCGGGAUCAAUAUGCUGGUCGUGCCAUUGGUACGUACUAGUAUUAUUGGUUUCUCCCUUCUGAUGAAUCAUGAUGUCAUUAAUUUGAUGUCAUGGGGAGUCAGGACUGUUACUUUGAAAAAAUUAGAGUGUUUAAAGCAGGCUUGCGCUUGAAUACAUUAGCAUGGAAUAAUGAAAUAGGACGUUUGAUUCUAUUUUGUUGGUUUCUAGGAUUGACGUAAUGAUUAAUAGGGAUAGUUGGGGGCAUUAGUAUUCAAUUGUCAGAGGUGAAAUUCUUGGAUUUAUUGAAGACUAACUACUGCGAAAGCAUUUGCCAAGGAUGUUUUCAUUAAUCAAGAACGAAAGUUAGGGGAUCGAAGACGAUCAGAUACCGUCGUAGUCUUAACCAUAAACUAUGCCGACUAGGGAUCGGAUGAUGUUAAUUUUUUAAUGACUCAUUCGGCACCUUACG
RNAcentral lists this ribosomal RNA (500 nucleotides) under uncultured Glomeromycotina. RNAcentral's name for it is "partial small subunit ribosomal RNA". It matches the Rfam family "Eukaryotic small subunit ribosomal RNA", at positions 591 to 1092 of the family's 1831-position model. The record is from RNAcentral. Lineage: Eukaryota; Fungi; Glomeromycota.